CCUACGGGCGGCAGCAGUAGGGAAUUUUUCACAAUGGGCGAAAGCCUGAUGGAGCAACGCCGCGUGCAGGAUGAAGGCCUUCGGGUUGUAAACUGCUUUUAUAAGCGAGAAAUAUGAUGGUAACUUAUGAAUAAGGAUCGGCUAACUACGUGCCAGCAGCCGCGGUCAUACGUAGGAUCCGAGCAUUAUCCGGAGUGACUGGGUGUAAAGAGUUGCGUAGGUGGCAUAAUAAGUAGCUAGUGAAAUCUGGUGGCUCAACCAUUCAGACUAUUAGCUAAACUGUUAAGCUCGAGACCGUUAGGGGUAACUGGAAUUUCUAGUGUAGGAGUGAAAUCCGUAGAUAUUAGAAGGAACACCAAUAGCGUAGGCAGGUUGCUGGGACGGUUCUGACACUAAGGCACGAAAGCGUAGGGAGCAAACGGGAUUAGAUACCCCUGUAGUC
This 442-nucleotide ribosomal RNA is filed under the name uncultured bacterium. RNAcentral's name for it is "partial 16S ribosomal RNA". It matches the Rfam family "Bacterial small subunit ribosomal RNA", at positions 338 to 795 of the family's 1533-position model. The record is from RNAcentral.